This 21-nucleotide microRNA is filed under the name Mus musculus (house mouse). RNAcentral describes it as "mmu-miR-7240-5p". The record is from miRBase by way of RNAcentral. Lineage: Eukaryota; Metazoa; Chordata; Mammalia; Rodentia; Muridae.
UUGGAGAGGACCGCCGUCGGA